UACGUAGGUGGCGAGCGUUGUCCGGAUUUACUGGGCGUAAAGCGCGCGCAGGCGGCGGCUUAAGUCCUCUGUGAAAUCGCCCGGCUCAACUGGGCGGCUGCGGAGGAGACUGGGUGGCUGGAGGGGCCUAGAGGCCGGUGGAACUCCCGGUGUAGUGGUGAAAUGCGUAGAGAUCGGGAAGAACACCAGUGGCGAAGGCGGCCGGCUGGGGGCGCCCUGACGCUGAGGCGCGAGAGCGUGGGGAGCAAACCGGAUUAGAUACCCGGGUAGUCCACGCCGUAAACGAUGGCGACUAGACCUGGGGGGUAUCGACCCCUUCCGGGUCGGAGCAAACGCAUGAAGUCGCCCGCCUGGGGAGUACGGCCGCAAGGCUAAA
Molecule: ribosomal RNA, 376 nt
Filed under: uncultured bacterium
Lineage: Bacteria
Description: bacterial SSU rRNA
Rfam family: Bacterial small subunit ribosomal RNA
Source: RNAcentral